UACCAGUCCCAGAGACAGAACCAGUCCCAGAGACAGUACCAGAACCAGUUUCAGCACAAGAAGUAGCUGCUGUACCAGAAGCUGUUCCAGAGCCAGAACUUGUGCCUGAACCAGUUGAAGUCCCAGAACCAGUUGAAGUCUCAGAACCAGUUGAAGUCUCAGAACCAGUUGAAGUCCCAGAACCAGNCAGAACCAGUUGAAGUCUCAGAACCAGUUGAAGUCCCAGAACCAGAGUCAGAAUCUGAUCCAGAGACUCUUGUGGAAUCUGAACCGGUGCCUGAAGUGCUCCCGCUGGUGGAGGACAUUUUACCGGAGCUUAUCCCUCGAUUCGCAGAAGAAAUCCUGCUGACCCCUGAACUCUUGAUUGAGACUGAACCAGAACCAGAACCAGAGGAUUUCCUGAACGACGACGUGGCUGCAGCUGAAGAUCAGGUCAAGUUCACUCCUGGAAAGAAACAGAGCAAGUUUGAGUCCAUGAUGACCAAAGAGGAGAUCGAGGAGGAGCAGAGGAUAGAGCUUACACCCGAUUUUACUUCUCUAUAAUCGACCUCAGCUGAGUUAGGAAGAGAUGUUCACGACAUCAGCAGGUUCCUUCCUCCGACUUUUCGUUCAAUGUUGCGUCUGCGUCACGUGUCCAGCCGCUCCGCUGCUAACCCUGCAUGCUGCCGCUAACACCACAGCUAACGAGCUCCUGAAUAAUGAUCCACACGAGACGUCACAAGCUUCGUCUGUCUGACGCAGCUGAUCUGUGAGGAAGAGGAGGAGGAGGAGGAGGAGGAGGAGGAGGAGGAGGAGGAGGAGGAGGAGUGAAGUUCUCAGAAAAUGAAAAGUCUGCUCGUUUUUAUCUUGGUUCAUUUGCUUUGUUUCCUCUGAGGCUCCAGAGUUUAAACAGAAAACAUCUUUAGCCUCAGAAAUCUGAUCUUUUUUUAACUUUCUCUUUUGUGUAAAAUGAUUUUUCAUUCAAAUCCUGAAAACUAAGAGUUGUGUUAACAGAAACGUGUGUGUGUGUGUGUGUAGUUGUGUUAAAGGAGAACAAGGAUCGUGUGGUGAUUUUUAAACUAUUAAACUGUUGUGCAGAGUUCAAACUCUGUGUUUGACUGAGUUUGAUUUCAACAUGAAAUAAAGUUCAAAUCUGCACGU
Non-coding RNA from Paralichthys olivaceus (Japanese flounder), 1140 nucleotides. The record is from RefSeq and is a predicted model, not a curated record. Lineage: Eukaryota; Metazoa; Chordata; Actinopteri; Pleuronectiformes; Paralichthyidae.